This is a long non-coding RNA of Cynoglossus semilaevis (tongue sole), 322 nucleotides long. RefSeq lists it as uncharacterized. The record is from RefSeq and is a predicted model, not a curated record. The transcript is spliced from 3 exons. NCBI's taxonomy places the organism in Eukaryota, Metazoa, Chordata, Actinopteri, Pleuronectiformes, Cynoglossidae.
UAACACUUCCGGGGCACACUCGUGCACACGCUUAUUUAUUAACUUUGUUAAGUAAUUCCCUGCAGGUGUAGCAGCAGACCAACAUUACCAUCACCUGGGCCGGUGGACUCCACGACGCCAAGAAGUCCGAAUUCUCUGGUUUCUCUUACGUGAACGACAUCGUCCUGGCCAUUUUUGAGCUGCUCAAGACAUCGGGGCCGGAAAGAGAAAAUACUAUGCAGUGAAUUACCCACGGAGCCAUCUUUAAACUGGCCCAAAGAAGAGGUUUAACCAAGUUGUUCCACUCCUGAUGAUGGCACCUUUGUUGAAUCCUGGGAGAACA